AUUUGAUUAUUCAUAUACUAGAAAAUUACUUGAUCUCUCAUGAACCCUAAUCUAAUAUCUGAUAUCCCAUUCAUAACAAAAAGAAGAACACACCUAAAAAAUAAAAUUAUUCUUUAUCAUUGUAUACCAAUCUACCAAUAAAAUACAUCCUCACCUCUAAUCUCCUCCCCGAACAGCAGCAGCAGCUUAUCUUCACCUUCUCCCUCCCUUGCAGCCGUGCUCUGUCUCCAUCGUUCUUCACGCUUCACGCAGUAGCAGCACGCACGAGCAGCCGCCUUAUCGUUCUCCACGCAUCAACAGCCUUGUGUCGCCCUCCGUGCAGUGCAGCCAUCGUGUCGUCCUCCACGUAGCAGCAACCCCGUAUCGCUCUCCGUGCCUUCCUCCACUCCUCCCUGCAGUUGCCACUCUCUGUGUAACAUGGUAGUUUCCAAAGGUUCGGUCCAGUGAACUUGUUCUGGAGUACACGCUAGACAAAGCAAUGACAUUGUUUUUGGCAUGCCUCAAGGAUUUUGCAGAAUUUGCCAAGUCCAAAGAUCAAGAAAAUAAUAUUCCACCUGAGAAAUGUUUCAAACUUUCAUAUAAGUACCAUCGCAUAUAAUACUAAUACAUAUUAAUUGUAGUGAGUUUUAUCUUUGGACACUGACCAAAUGCCUAAAAAUUUACCUUCCACUGUUUCACAUUUAGAUCAUCAUUACUCUUAAUUGUCGGAUGAAGAGAAAUUUGGUGUUGGUGUCAUCAAAUUUAAAUCCUUUGGAAUUACAUUUCAUGCCUUUUGCUAAGUAUGUUGAUGAAGAAUUAUGGAGGGAAUAAUACCCAAGGGUUCAUUUUUUCUAAUCUCUGAGAGAGUAAUGUGAUGUGACUCAAGGCAUAACUUAUGAUAUCCAUGAGCAUGUUAUUUAAUUAGUCAUAGCUGAUGGAAUUUAUGUUGCUUUUGAACAAAUGCAUGAGAUUUACAGCUCUUCGAGUCUUUUCUGCAAAGAGGAAAGAACCAAAGUAAGUCUGCUCUGUGUCCAUAAUCUCUUCUGGUGCAUAUCCAGGCUGGAUUUCUAUCUCUGCUCUUCCCUUUCUUUAUUAAAUACAAAAAUACAGAUAGUAGACUGUAGAAUGGGAAUGAGCUAAGCUUUACUAUGUUUGUGCUUUGAUGUGGACUGGUAUUUAUGAACAAUUCUUUACAUGCCUUCAUAUCAGAUCUCUAAAUCACAUGUUUAGUAAUUGAUAAAUUUUGCUUAUCUAUAAAUAGUUUGUGAGCUGAGUUUUUCACUGAUAAUAGUUCUUGAAAUUUUUCUGAAGGUUUGCUUUUUCAAGACCUUUACAUUUGGGUGUUGGAUCUUGCAUUAAAUUUUAUCCAAACAAAUUUCUUCUUUACUUGAGAGCCCAAAGUUGGCUGUGAAAUAGAAUAAACUUUCACAUGGGUCAAAAGUUGCUUCAUUGUUU
This is a non-coding RNA of Arachis ipaensis, 1434 nucleotides long. Lineage: Eukaryota; Viridiplantae; Streptophyta; Magnoliopsida; Fabales; Fabaceae. The record is from RefSeq and is a predicted model, not a curated record.